UCUCCGUUGGUGAACCAGCGGAGGGAUCAUUACCGAGUUAACAACUCCCAAACCCUUUGUGAACAUACCUAUCGUUGCUUCGGCGGCACACGCCCCGGCUCCCGGAAUCAGGCGCCCACCGAAGGACCCAAACUCUUGUCUUUACUGGAUGUAUUAUCUGAGUGACAAAACAAAAUAAAUCAAAACUUUUAACAACGGAUCUCUUGGCGCUGGCAUCGAUGAAGAACGCAGC
Molecule: unclassified non-coding RNA, 232 nt
Filed under: uncultured fungus
Lineage: Eukaryota; Fungi
Description: sequence contains ITS1, 5.8S rRNA gene
Rfam family: 5.8S ribosomal RNA (bases 184-232)
Source: RNAcentral